This is a long non-coding RNA of Dermacentor silvarum, 409 nucleotides long. RefSeq lists it as uncharacterized. The record is from RefSeq and is a predicted model, not a curated record. NCBI's taxonomy places the organism in Eukaryota, Metazoa, Arthropoda, Arachnida, Ixodida, Ixodidae. The transcript is spliced from 3 exons.
UUUCGCUGCGGAACAUUGCUAGCUUGAAGCCCAGGAAUGGCUGGUUUGCUCAAAAUUUCUGUAGUUGCGUUGGCGCUAAUUGCCGCUGCACAACGGUGUAAGGGAGAUGAAGAGUCGGAGGAGCUUCCUCCGCCUCCUACGCCUGCUCCGUCGACCUGCGAUAGUACUACAAACCUCUUCUGCCGUAUUUGGUUAAAAAAUCCGGAGAUGUGGAAGGUUAAAACAACUGGUAACUCUAACGAAAAAUGCGCGAAGGAAGUACGCACAGAGCUUGACAAAGACAAAGUCCGUCUCUACGAACAGUAUCGUCAUGGAAAUAUAACAGUGACCAAACCAAGCAAACAUUGGACAUUUUUUACGAACCACGAAAAUGCAAGCCUAAUGUCGUUCACAAGUGAAAGUGAGUAAU